ACUGAGACACGGUCCAAACUCCUACGGGAGGCAGCAGUGAGGAAUAUUGGUCAAUGGGCGNNAGCCUGAACCAGCCAAGUAGCGUGAAGGAUGAAGGCUCUAUGGGUUGUAAACUUCUUUUAUAAGGGAAUAAAGUNNGGCACGUGUCCCGUUUUGUAUGUACCUUAUGAAUAAGGAUCGGCUAACUCCGUGCCAGCAGCCGCGGUAAUACGGAGGAUCCGAGCGUUAUCCGGAUUUAUUGGGUUUAAAGGGAGCGUAGGCGGMCUUUUAAGUCAGCKGUGAAAGUCUGCGGCUCAACCRUAAAAUUGCMGUUGAAACUGGSAGKCUUGAGUACGUUUGAGGCRGGCGGAAUKCGUGGUGUAGCGGUGAAAUGCUUAGAUAUCACGMAGAACYCCGAUUGCGAAGGCAGCCYGCCAAGCCGURACUGACACUGAUGCUCGAAAGUGUGGGKAUCAAACAGGAUUAGAUACCCUGGUAGUCCACACAGUAAACGAUGAUUACUMGCUGUUUGCGAUAUACUGUAAGCGGCCCAGCGAAAGCGUUAAGUGAUCCACCUGGGGAGUACGCCGGCAACGGUGAAACUCAAAGGAAUUGACGGGGGCCCGCACAAGCGGAGGAACAUGUGGUUUAAUUCGAUGAUACGCGAGGAACCUUACCCGGGUUUGAAUUGCUUCUGACUGAGGUGGAAACACCUUUUC
Molecule: ribosomal RNA, 698 nt
Filed under: Parabacteroides distasonis
Lineage: Bacteria; Pseudomonadati; Bacteroidota; Bacteroidia; Bacteroidales; Tannerellaceae
Description: partial 16S ribosomal RNA
Source: RNAcentral